Molecule: unclassified non-coding RNA, 229 nt
Filed under: plant metagenome
Description: partial contains small subunit ribosomal RNA, internal transcribed spacer 1, and 5.8S ribosomal RNA
Source: RNAcentral
UCUCCGUAGGUGAACCUGCGGAGGGAUCAUUACAGAGUUCAUGCCCUACCGGGUAGGUCUCCCACCCUAUGUUAUUAUUACUUUGUUGCUUUGGCGGGCCGUUAGGCUCCGGCCCGACUACCGGCCCCGGCUGGUAAGCGCCCGCCAGAGGACCCAAAACCCUGAAUAUUAGUGUCGUCUGAGUACUAUAUAAUAGUUAAAACUUUCAACAACGGAUCUCUUGGUUCUG